Molecule: ribosomal RNA, 424 nt
Filed under: Verrucomicrobiota bacterium
Lineage: Bacteria; Pseudomonadati; Verrucomicrobiota
Description: Verrucomicrobia bacterium partial 16S ribosomal RNA
Rfam family: Bacterial small subunit ribosomal RNA
Source: RNAcentral
UGAGGAAUAUUGGUCAAUGGACGCAAGUCUGAACCAGCCAAGUAGCGUGCAGGAUGACGGCCCUAUGGGUUGUAAACUGCUUUUAUAUGGGAAUAAAGUGAGGGACGUGUCCCUUAUUGCAUGUACCAUACGAAUAAGGACCGGCUAAUUCCGUGCCAGCAGCCGCGGUAAUACGGAAGGUCCAGGCGUUAUCCGGAUUUAUUGGGUUUAAAGGGAGCGUAGGCUGUUUGUUAAGCGUGUUGUGAAAUGUAAGAGCUCAACUUUUAGAUUGCAGCGCGAACUGGCAGACUUGAGUGCGCACAACGUAGGCGGAAUUCAUGGUGUAGCGGUGAAAUGCUUAAAUAUCAUGACGAACUCCGAUUGCGAAGGCAGCUUACGGGAGCGCAACUGACGCUAAAGCUCGAAGGUGCGGGUAUCGAACGGG